CCUACGGGUGGCAGCAGUGGGGAAUAUUGGACAAUGGGGGGAACCCUGAUCCAGCCAUGCCGCGUGUGUGAAGAAGGCCCUCGGGUUGUAAAGCACUUUCAGUGAGGAAGAACGCCUGGUGGUUAAUACCCAUCAGGAAAGACAUCACUCACAGAAGAAGCACCGGCUAACUCCGUGCCAGCAGCCGCGGUAAUACGGAGGGUGCGAGCGUUAAUCGGAAUUACUGGGCGUAAAGCGCGCGUAGGUGGCUUGAUAAGCCGGUUGUGAAAGCCCCGGGCUCAACCUGGGAACGGCAUCCGGAACUGUCAAGCUAGAGUGCAGGAGAGGAAGGUAGAAUUCCCGGUGUAGCGGUGAAAUGCGUAGAGAUCGGGAGGAAUACCAGUGGCGAAGGCGGCCUUCUGGACAGACACUGACACUGAGGUGCGAAAGCGUGGGUAGCAAACAGGAUUAGAUACCCUGGUAGUC
This 465-nucleotide ribosomal RNA is filed under the name Vreelandella stevensii. RNAcentral describes it as "partial 16S ribosomal RNA". It matches the Rfam family "Bacterial small subunit ribosomal RNA", at positions 338 to 795 of the family's 1533-position model. Lineage: Bacteria; Pseudomonadati; Pseudomonadota; Gammaproteobacteria; Oceanospirillales; Halomonadaceae. The record is from RNAcentral.